AAAAUAGAAGCUAAAUUUUUUGAUAGUACCAUCUUAGUUUAAUUGCGAUAAAAAAAAAAAAAAAAAGUUAUUUCGCAAAACAAGAUUACAACGUCGAAAAGAUUUCCGAGGAAAAUUAAAAAGUAAUUAAGUAUUUUAAAACUGAAAUAGAUCACUAUCCCCGACAGUCACAGAAUCAAAUGAAGAACAUAUAUAACAAAAUUAAAAAUUAAAAACAACUACGGUGUGUACAAAAAAAUUGUAUAGAUAUAAUGACGACUUUGAGAAUAGGAUCGCACGAAUUCAUAAAAUGAUUAUUUUCAAUAUAUGUAUAAAACAAAAAGAGCUCACACAAUUUAUGGGUAUGCCGCUGGUGUAGAUGGGAAAUUGGAAUGGUAGGAACCAGUUAUUUAAUUUAUGUCUGUACUCAACGAUAAAUCAUAGCUCUAACGUAAUACGAUAUUGAGCAAAGCAUUAUUUGUCGUAUUUGUUCUUGUCAGAAGUUAACUCGGGAAUCAACAAAUAUUACCGGUUUCCCGAAUCAUUAAGUAAACUACAAAGAAAGUCAAAAAAAGAACCUUUCCAAUACAGCAACUAGAUCAAAAACGUUACAAGAAAAUGCCAAUAAAGUUUUUUAUCGAAUCAAAAUUUCUGGUAAAAAAGUUGUUUAAAGACAUACAUAAACACACCCACA
This is a non-coding RNA of Cinara cedri, 673 nucleotides long. The record is from the annotation of a GenBank genome assembly. Lineage: Eukaryota; Metazoa; Arthropoda; Insecta; Hemiptera; Aphididae.